UACGAAGGGGGCUAGCGUUGCUCGGAAUCACUGGGCGUAAAGGGUGCGUAGGCGGGUUUUUAAGUCAGAGGUGAAAUCCUGGAGCUCAACUCCAGAACUGCCUUUGAUACUGAAAGUCUUGAGUAUGGGAGAGGUGAGUGGAACUGCGAGUGUAGAGGUGAAAUUCGUAGAUAUUCGCAAGAACACCAGUGGCGAAGGCGGCUCACUGGCCCAUAACUGACGCUGAGGCGCGAAAGCUAGGGGAGCAAACGGG
Molecule: ribosomal RNA, 253 nt
Filed under: uncultured bacterium
Lineage: Bacteria
Description: partial 16S ribosomal RNA
Rfam family: Bacterial small subunit ribosomal RNA
Source: RNAcentral